GGUGGUCCCACCUGACCCCAUGCCGAACUCAGAAGUGAAACGCCGUAGCGCCGAUGGUAGUGUGGGGUCUCCCCAUGCGAGAGUAGGGAACUGCCAGGCA
Molecule: ribosomal RNA, 100 nt
Filed under: Escherichia coli 6-319-05_S1_C1
Lineage: Bacteria; Pseudomonadati; Pseudomonadota; Gammaproteobacteria; Enterobacterales; Enterobacteriaceae
Also listed under: 6 other names
Source: RNAcentral